Molecule: long non-coding RNA, 598 nt
Organism: Lampris incognitus (smalleye Pacific opah)
Lineage: Eukaryota; Metazoa; Chordata; Actinopteri; Lampriformes; Lampridae
Exons: 5
Source: RefSeq, a predicted model, not a curated record
UCUGACGAGAGAAAAACUGGAAGAGAAGAGAAAUACGGAUAUUUUGAAAUACGGACAACUUUGACUAUGGAUACUUGAAUUAUUGAUAUUUGAACUACGGAUAUUUGAAGUACAGGACAUUUGAACUACGACAUAAAGAUCCCUCCCACGAAGCUUCCUUGACAGAUGAUCUCCUGUUGAAGGAAGAAGGAAGACUCUUGUCUCUUGUGUUUUGUACGCUGCUGGAAUCCUGGGUCAGAGGGGAUCAAGGCAUUGAGAAUGUUGACAUUGCCAGGUUUAUGUUCACUAUGCGGGGUACCGACAGGGGAAGCUUCAUGUCAGGAAAAAGCGUUCACAACCAAAGAAUCGAACGUCUGUGGCGGGACGUGAAGACCUGUCUCACCUCCAAAUACUACAAUAUGCUUCGGGGGGCUGGAACAGGAUCAGUUGCUGGAUGUUUCUUCCCCAGAAGACCCUUUCUGUGUCCACCUGGUCUUUCUCCCCAAACUGAAGAUGGACCUUGAAAGUUUUGUGGAAGGUUGGAACAAUCAUCCUGUCCAAACUGAAAAUGAUAGAACUCCUGAGCAGUUGUGGUGGCUGGAUUUGAUGACCACAGAUA